This is a long non-coding RNA of Perca flavescens (yellow perch), 492 nucleotides long. RefSeq lists it as uncharacterized. The transcript is spliced from 3 exons. The record is from RefSeq and is a predicted model, not a curated record. Lineage: Eukaryota; Metazoa; Chordata; Actinopteri; Perciformes; Percidae.
UCUAUCUAGCGGUAACCAUGGCUUCAGCUCAGCCAUACAUGUUCAAACCAGAGUCUGAUCCCGAAACAGAACCCGAACCAGCUUCACAACUUAGACUGGAGCAAGAUGUUUCAGAGUGGUUGUUACACAAAUGCAACAGGUUCCUGUCCCACCUACCUGCAUGGUUUACCAUCCAGACUUGGAGCCAACCUGUUUGAACCACUACACCCUGCGGAACAUCUACACUAUAUACAAAGCAGACUAUGGACCUUUGAGGUGUCGAACAGAAAAAGAGCGCUACAGGCACCUUGCCUAUCUUGGCUUUGUCAACUGGUGCUGGGGCUACUUGGGAAGGACUGUUAGGGUGGUAAUCCCGUCGUGUGUUGUACGCCGGAUACGCCUGCAGUUUCUUGAUCCGGGUGCAUAGUAUGUGCGGUUCCGACUGUCCCUUGAACAAAGCGGGACAGAUGGCGGGCAACCACUUCCUCCUUUGAGGGUCUCUCAUGUUCCGAU